RNAcentral lists this ribosomal RNA (640 nucleotides) under bacterium c1cb43. RNAcentral's name for it is "bacterial SSU rRNA". It matches the Rfam family "Bacterial small subunit ribosomal RNA", at positions 806 to 1445 of the family's 1533-position model. The record is from RNAcentral.
ACGAUGUCUACUUGGAGGUUGUGGCCUUGAGCCGUGGCUUUCGGAGCUAACGCGUUAAGUAGACCGCCUUGGGAGUACGGUCGCAAGAUUAAAACUCAAAUGAAUUGACGGGGGCCCGCACAAGCGGUGGAGCAUGUGGUUUAAUUCGAUGCAACGCGAAGAACCUUACCUACUCUUGACAUCCAGAGAACUUAGCAGAGAUGCUUUGGUGCCUUCGGGAACUCUGAGACAGGUGCUGCAUGGCUGUCGUCAGCUCGUGUUGUGAAAUGUUGGGUUAAGUCCCGCAACGAGCGCAACCCUUAUCCUUGUUUGCCAGCACGUAAUGGUGGGAACUCCAGGGAGACUGCCGGUGAUAAACCGGAGGAAGGUGGGGACGACGUCAAGUCAUCAUGGCCCUUACGAGUAGGGCUACACACGUGCUACAAUGGCGCAUACAGAGGGCGGCCAACCAGCGAUGGUGAGCGAAUCCCAAAAAGUGCGUCGUAGUCCGGAUUGGAGUCUGCAACUCGACUCCAUGAAGUCGGAAUCGCUAGUAAUCGUGAAUCAGAAUGUCACGGUGAAUACGUUCCCGGGCCUUGUACACACCGCCCGUCACACCAUGGGAGUGGGCUGCAAAAGAAGUGGGUAGUUUAACCUUCGG